Molecule: ribosomal RNA, 432 nt
Filed under: uncultured bacterium
Lineage: Bacteria
Description: partial 16S ribosomal RNA
Rfam family: Bacterial small subunit ribosomal RNA
Source: RNAcentral
ACGAACGCUUGCGGCAUGCCUAACACAUGCAAGUCGAACGAGACCUUCGGGUCUAGUGGCGCACGGGUGCGUCACGCGUGGGAACCUGCCCUUAGGUUCGGAAUAACUCCCCGAAAGGGGUGCUAAUACCGGAUAAUGUCUUCGGACCAAAGAUUUAUCGCCUUUGGAUGGGCCCGCGUUGGAUUAGCUAGUUGGUAGGGUAAAAGCCUACCAAGGCGACGAUCCAUAGCUGGUCUGAGAGGAUGAUCAGCCACACUGGGACUGAGACACGGCCCAGACUCCUACGGGAGGCAGCAGUGGGGAAUAUUGGACAAUGGGCGAAAGCCUGAUCCAGCAAUGCCGCGUGAGUGAUGAAGGCCUUAGGGUUGUAAAGCUCUUUUACCCGGGAUGAUAAUGACAGUACCGGGAGAAUAAGCUCCGGCUAACUCCGUG